RNAcentral lists this transfer RNA (73 nucleotides) under Candidatus Daviesbacteria bacterium. RNAcentral's name for it is "tRNA-Trp". It matches the Rfam family "tRNA". From Rfam's summary of the family: Transfer RNA (tRNA) molecules are approximately 80 nucleotides in length. The record is from RNAcentral. Lineage: Bacteria; Candidatus Daviesiibacteriota.
AGGGGUGUAGCUCAGUUGGUAGAGCACUCGUCUCCAAAACGAGCGGUCGGAGGUUCGACCCCUCCCGCCCCUG